CCUACGGAAGGCAGCAGUGGGGAAUAUUGGGCAAUGGGCGCAAGCCUGACCCAGCAACGCCGCGUGAAGGAAGAAGGCUUUCGGGUUGUAAACUUCUUUUCUCAGGGACGAAGAAAGUGACGGUACCUGAGGAAUAAGCCACGGCUAACUACGUGCCAGCAGCCGCGGGAAUACGUGGGUGGCAAGCGUUAUCCGGAUUUAUUGGGGGUAAAGGGCGGGUAGGCGGGAGCGCAAGUCAGAUGUGAAAACUCAGGGCUCAACCCUGAGCCUGCAUUUGAAACUGUGUUUCUUGAGUGCUGGAGGGGCAAUCGGAAUUCCGUGUGUAGCGGUGAAUUGCGUAGAUAUACGGAGGAACACCAGUGGCGAAGGCGGAUUGCUGGACAGUAACUGAUGCUGAGGCGCGAAAGCGUGGGGAGCAAACAGGAUUAGAUACCCCAUAGUC
This 442-nucleotide ribosomal RNA is filed under the name uncultured bacterium. RNAcentral describes it as "partial 16S ribosomal RNA". It matches the Rfam family "Bacterial small subunit ribosomal RNA", at positions 338 to 795 of the family's 1533-position model. The record is from RNAcentral.